Small nuclear RNA from Gracilinanus agilis (Agile Gracile Mouse Opossum), 102 nucleotides. Lineage: Eukaryota; Metazoa; Chordata; Mammalia; Didelphimorphia; Didelphidae. The record is from RefSeq and is a predicted model, not a curated record.
UCCAAUGAACACUAGGGAGGGAAGUCUGGAAUGAUACAAAGAAGAUUAGCAUGUCCCCUGUGCAAUAAUGACAUGCAAAUUCAUGAAGUGUUCCAUAUAUUU